Molecule: transfer RNA, 87 nt
Filed under: Bdellovibrionales bacterium RIFOXYC1_FULL_39_130
Lineage: Bacteria; Pseudomonadati; Bdellovibrionota; Bdellovibrionia; Bdellovibrionales
Also listed under: 7 other names
Description: tRNA-Leu
Rfam family: tRNA
About the family: Transfer RNA (tRNA) molecules are approximately 80 nucleotides in length.
Source: RNAcentral
GCCCAGGUGGCGAAAUUGGCAGACGCACUACCUUGAGGUGGUAGCGCUGGCAACGGCGUGCUGGUUCAAGUCCAGUCCUGGGCACCA